AAAAACAUCGCCUCUUGCCCAAACAUAAGAGGUCCAGCCUGCCCAGUGAGAAAUUUAACGGCCGCGGUACCCUAACCGUGCGAAGGUAGCAUAAUCACUUGUUCUUUAAAUGGGGACUAGUAUCAACGGCAUCACGAGGGUUGCACUGUCUCCUUUCUCCAAUCAGUGAAAUUGAUCUCCCCGUGAAGAAGCGGGGAUACAGCAACAAGACGAGAAGACCCCAUGGAGCUUUAAAUCUAACAGCAACUCUAACAUAUAAUACCCCACAACCACAGAGCCAUGCAUGAAGAUUUUAGGUUGGGGCGACCGUGGAGCAAAAAUCACCCUCCAUGACGAAAGGGGCUAAACCCUUAUCCUAGAGCCACCACUCCAAGAAUUAGCACACUAACGAACUGUGACCCGAUAAUCGAUCAACGGACCAAGUUACCCUGGGGAUAACAGCGCAAUCUACUUCAAGAGCCCAUAUCGACAAGUAGGCUUACGACCUCGAUGUUGGAUCAGGGUACCCCAAUGGUGCAGCCGCUACUAACGGUUCGUUUGUUCAACGAUUAAAACCCUACGUGAUCUGAG
This 570-nucleotide ribosomal RNA is filed under the name Rhacophorus sp. JL-2012a. RNAcentral's name for it is "partial 16S ribosomal RNA". It matches the Rfam family "Bacterial large subunit ribosomal RNA", at positions 1809 to 2609 of the family's 2925-position model. The record is from RNAcentral. Lineage: Eukaryota; Metazoa; Chordata; Amphibia; Anura; Rhacophoridae.